RNAcentral lists this ribosomal RNA (1531 nucleotides) under Streptococcus pneumoniae GA47778. RNAcentral's name for it is "bacterial SSU rRNA". It matches the Rfam family "Bacterial small subunit ribosomal RNA". Lineage: Bacteria; Bacillati; Bacillota; Bacilli; Lactobacillales; Streptococcaceae. The record is from RNAcentral.
GAGUUUGAUCCUGGCUCAGGACGAACGCUGGCGGCGUGCCUAAUACAUGCAAGUAGAACGCUGAAGGAGGAGCUUGCUUCUCUGGAUGAGUUGCGAACGGGUGAGUAACGCGUAGGUAACCUGCCUGGUAGCGGGGGAUAACUAUUGGAAACGAUAGCUAAUACCGCAUAAGAGUGGAUGUUGCAUGACAUUUGCUUAAAAGGUGCACUUGCAUCACUACCAGAUGGACCUGCGUUGUAUUAGCUAGUUGGUGGGGUAAGGGCUCACCAAGGCGACGAUACAUAGCCGACCUGAGAGGGUGAUCGGCCACACUGGGACUGAGACACGGCCCAGACUCCUACGGGAGGCAGCAGUAGGGAAUCUUCGGCAAUGGACGGAAGUCUGACCGAGCAACGCCGCGUGAGUGAAGAAGGUUUUCGGAUCGUAAAGCUCUGUUGUAAGAGAAGAACGAGUGUGAGAGUGGAAAGUUCACACUGUGACGGUAUCUUAUCAGAAAGGGACGGCUAACUACGUGCCAGCAGCCGCGGUAAUACGUAGGUCCCGAGCGUUGUCCGGAUUUAUUGGGCGUAAAGCGAGCGCAGGCGGUUAGAUAAGUCUGAAGUUAAAGGCUGUGGCUUAACCGUAGUAGGCUUUGGAAACUGUUUAACUUGAGUGCAAGAGGGGAGAGUGGAAUUCCAUGUGUAGCGGUGAAAUGCGUAGAUAUAUGGAGGAACACCGGUGGCGAAAGCGGCUCUCUGGCUUGUAACUGACGCUGAGGCUCGAAAGCGUGGGGAGCAAACAGGAUUAGAUACCCUGGUAGUCCACGCUGUAAACGAUGAGUGCUAGGUGUUAGACCCUUUCCGGGGUUUAGUGCCGUAGCUAACACAUUAAGCACUCCGCCUGGGGAGUACGACCGCAAGGUUGAAACUCAAAGGAAUUGACGGGGGCCCGCACAAGCGGUGGAGCAUGUGGUUAAUUCGAAGCAACGCGAAGAACCUUACCAGGUCUUGACAUCCCUCUGACCGCUCUAGAGAUAGAGUUUUCCUCGGGACAGAGGUGACAGGUGGUGCAUGGUUGUCGUCAGCUCGUGUCGUGAGAUGUUGGGUUAAGUCCCGCAACGAGCGCAACCCCUAUUGUUAGUUGCCAUCAUUUAGUUGGGCACUCUAGCGAGACUGUCCGGUAAUAAACCGGAGGAAGGUGGGGAUGACGUCAAAUCAUCAUGCCCCUUAUGACCUGGGCUACACACGUGCUACAAUGGCUGGUACAACGAGUCGCAAGCCGGUGACGGCAAGCUAAUCUCUUAAAGCCAGUCUCAGUUCGGAUUGUAGGCUGCAACUCGCCUACAUGAAGUCGGAAUCGCUAGUAAUCGCGGAUCAGCACGCCGCGGUGAAUACGUUCCCGGGCCUUGUACACACCGCCCGUCACACCACGAGAGUUUGUAACACCCGAAGUCGGUGAGGUAACCGUAAGGAGCCAGCCGCCUAAGGUGGGAUAGAUGAUUGGGGUGAAGUCGUAACAAGGUAGCCGUAUCGGAAGGUGCGGCUGGAUCACC